GACGAACGCUGGCGGCGUGCUUAACACAUGCAAGUCGAACGCUGAAGCUCAGCUUUUGUUGGGUGGAUGAGUGGCGAACGGGUGAGUAACACGUGAGUAACCUGCCUCCUUCUUUGGGAUAACGCCCGGAAACGGGUGCUAAUACUGGAUAUUCACUGGUCUUCGCAUGGGGGUUGGUGGGAAGGGUUUUUCUGGUGGGGGAUGGGCUCGCGGCCUAUCAGCUUGUUGGUGGGGUGAUGGCCUACCAAGGCUUUGACGGGUAGCCGGCCUGAGAGGGUGACCGGUCACAUUGGGACUGAGAUACGGCCCAGACUCCUACGGGAGGCAGCAGUGGGGAAUAUUGCACAAUGGGCGCAAGCCUGAUGCAGCGACGCCGCGUGAGGGAUGGAGGCCUUCGGGUUGUGAACCUCUUUCGCUCAUGGUCAAGCCGCAACAAUGGUUGUGGUGAGGGUAGUGGGUAAAGAAGCGCCGGCUAACUACGUG
This 483-nucleotide ribosomal RNA is filed under the name uncultured bacterium. Its description in RNAcentral is "partial 16S ribosomal RNA". It matches the Rfam family "Bacterial small subunit ribosomal RNA", at positions 28 to 507 of the family's 1533-position model. The record is from RNAcentral.